ACGCUGGAAGUCUGCAAGAUGGAUAGAAAAGGUUUGGUGAGUCCCUUAAUCCGAAAAGCAGAACACACACCCUCCUGAUAAACAGCUUGGGGGAGAUCACGAUUUGAGAUCCCAUGAUCUGCUAUGUCAGAGGAAGAUCUGCAGAAGGAAACAUGCACUGAGGUCAGUCUUGCCAGGGUGAAGUAAACCCAACCUCCUUAAAAGAGGGCAGGAGGCUGUUCUUCCAGGAAGGCCUGCAGAGACCCUGGGAACGGGACCAGCCCAGCUCGCAAGUAUGAAGAGAAUGUCGGAGAGGAAGUGGUGGCUGUGAGUCAGCGUGAGUCAUCUUGUUCCAAUGAGAAUGAAGACUGAGAUGGGCCAAGUAAGGAGCAGAAAGCAAAAGGACUCGGCUGAAGUGUGCAGCCUCCAGCAGCUCUC
Herpailurus yagouaroundi (jaguarundi) is the source of this 417-nucleotide long non-coding RNA. RefSeq lists it as uncharacterized. The transcript has 3 exons. The record is from RefSeq and is a predicted model, not a curated record. NCBI's taxonomy places the organism in Eukaryota, Metazoa, Chordata, Mammalia, Carnivora, Felidae.